Molecule: non-coding RNA, 226 nt
Organism: Pelobates cultripes (western spadefoot toad)
Lineage: Eukaryota; Metazoa; Chordata; Amphibia; Anura; Pelobatidae
Source: the annotation of a GenBank genome assembly
UUUCAUUUUGAAGACUUGUGGAAGAGCCUUCCCUGUUCUCUGCACCAGAUGUCUAUUAGAGAUCCAGCAUUGUUGUGAUGAAGCUAUGUGAAAUGUUCCCUAAUUGGACUGGAAAUAUUAACAAGACAUACUGCAUUUAAAUGGUCUGCUGAUAUGCUUAAACAUGACAGCGUCAAAAUAUUACCCCAAGUAAAUGUCACUCUCACUAUGCAGGCUAGUCAGUAUA